This is a long non-coding RNA of Anolis carolinensis (green anole), 1499 nucleotides long. RefSeq lists it as uncharacterized. The transcript has 2 exons. The record is from RefSeq and is a predicted model, not a curated record. NCBI's taxonomy places the organism in Eukaryota, Metazoa, Chordata, Lepidosauria, Squamata, Anolidae.
UGCAAAUCCCAGGAUUUGAUAGCAUACUAGAAGCUGAAGUCCAACGGCAUGUGUAAGGUCAUACCAUUCUCAUUCCCUUUCUAUGCUCUGAAUCAUAGAUUUACUCAGUUCAAAUUUGUUGUGUAUAUAUGCAUCAUUUUAUGUACCAGUGUGCAAAUGAGAGAAAAGAGAUUUUUUCCCUCAAAAAAUACCUUCAUAGAGAAAAUGUUUAUUAGCCCACAAGGUGAAACUUAUUGGAGAGACAGAGGAAUGAAUGCUUCCGUUUCAAUGUGUAUUCAGACACAGCAGGCUGAAGCCUUCUCUCCUUUCAAAGCUUUCCAUUUUACCGAGAGAGUGAGGGUUUGCUUUCUAAAGCAGACUUUCUGAAGCUUAAAGAACAUGUUCUGAAGGAGAGCCAGCUAACACACUCCUGCAUUUUUUGUUGCUUCACAGUCAGGCCGGGGUCAACUAAGAAUCCCAUAAAAGAACAGUGGGGCCUUUUAUUUCCUGCCAUAAAGGAAAGAAUGAAAUGAAAGCCCCCCUCGGUGCAGUCACACCUGGUUGUAUCUUUAAUUAUCAACUUUCUACACCUCUGGUGAGCAAGAGAAGAAAACUUCUAACAAAACUUUCCGUAUCACAUCAGGCUACCUGUAUCAAACAAAUGAUCACUUCCCUCUAUUGGACUGGAAUCACAAAGUAUGACAUGCAGGUAUCUGGAAACAUAUCAUGCCCAUAUUUUAUCAUUUUGCCCUGAUGUGCCUCGUUGCUCACUCCCUCCAGAAGAUCCGCUGUACAAGCUUCAAUGAAACUGGAAAUAUUCAAAGCCUCAAGGGAGACACACAUGUUUUAAAGGCCCAAUCUGAUCUUUGGUGAUGGUUCCAACUAUCUGUGAUAGAAGAGUGGGACUAAAUAUCGUAUCUGCUCCACCACUUAAUCCGGGGCCAGUCUGGGGCAUCUGUGAUGGUGGUCACACCAGGCUGAACAUUUUGCAAUGCUGUGUCCAUGUGCAGAUGGUCCGGCCAGGAUGAGACUGCAUUGGCCCCAGUGGCCCAUCCUUUGUCCUCUGUGUCAUCACUGCCAUUGUUUACAUAUCCUCACCAUUUACAUAUCUCCUUGGAAGCACCUCACCAUUACAGUUUCAUCUGCUGAGAUCAUAAUACAUCAAUUAUAAAAUCAGUAAGUGGGAGACAGAGCACACCUCACCUUGUUUAUCAUAUAAGUGCCCCAUGAUAACCACAGUAGAUGUGACCAUUGAUCUCAUCAGAUGAGGACAACAUCAGUAGCAUGCAGGGUCUCUUUUGAUGGAGUCUGCUGGCUCCCACCCACGAUGCAUUACAACUUCUGGUGGGGCUCCAUCGUGAAAGGGUUGGCAGAAGCUGGAGUUAACAAGGGGAGCUCACCUUGUCCAUGGAACUGAAACGUCAACCUUCUGGUCAACAAGUUCUGCAGCUUAGGAGUUUAACCUGCUGUGCCACUGCAGCCCCUUUUGCAUACAUAGUAAUAACUGGAACUUCCUGUAA